GGGUCCGGACACACUGAGGAUUGACAGGCAAAAGAUACAAGUUUUCUUUGUGAGAGCUUGCAUUGUAAAAUAUGCGAGUCCUUUCAUGAUUAUGUGAUAGGUGGUGCAUGGCCGUUCUUAGUUCGUGGAGUGAUCUGUCUGCUUAAUUGCGUUUCACAACGAUUUAAAAUGCUAUGUUUUCUGUGUUUGCUGUUCGGUUUUAGCUCUUACGGGAGUUUUUAACUUUGAACGCACACGGCGUAGCUUAAAACAAUCGGAAAGCAACGAACGUGACCGCGACCUCUUGUUGCCUUUAUUUUUAAAAGCGUGGAAAAUUUUAUAUUUUCCUACGCUUGAAAAAGGCUUUAAAACUAGAGGGACCGCUGUUCUAUUCUCUUAAACCAGAGGAAGAUUGCGGCAAUAACAGGUCUGUGAUGCCCUCAGAUGUUCCGGGCUGCACACGUGCUACAAUGAUUGUUGCAGUGAGCAUCUAUUUUCAAACGCUACCGUUGCGGAUUUUGUGAGAAGGGGGCUUGUUUUAAAGCUUUCGGGUGGAGAAGCAGGUUUCUUUUUUUCACAAUUUAUUCCGCGUUACGUGUCAGCUAAACCUGCUUCGAAAGCAAGUAGGU
RNAcentral lists this ribosomal RNA (608 nucleotides) under Micrometula hyalostriata. RNAcentral's name for it is "bacterial SSU rRNA". It matches the Rfam family "Eukaryotic small subunit ribosomal RNA", at positions 1220 to 1547 of the family's 1831-position model. The record is from RNAcentral. Lineage: Eukaryota; Foraminifera; Allogromiidae.